AGAUGGUAGAAUGGAACAGUAGUAUGAAGGUGGAUAAAGAUGGUAGAAUGGAACAGUAGUAUGAAGGUGGAUAAAGAUGGUAGAAUGGAACAGUAGUGUGAAGGUGGAUAAAGAUGGUAGAAUGGAACAGUAGUGUGAAGGUGGAUAAAGAUGGUAGAAUGGAACAGUAUGAAGGUGGAUAAAGAUGGUAGAAUGGAACAGUAGUGUGAAGAAGGUGGAUAAAGAUGGUAGAAUGGAACAGUAGUGUGAAGGUGGAUAAAGAUGGUAGAAUGGAACAGUAGUGUGAAGAAGGUGGAUAAAGAUGGUAGAAUGGAACAGUAGUGUGAAGAAGGUGGAUAAAGAUGGUAGAAUGGAACAGUAGUGUGAAGAAGGUGGAUAAAGAUGGUAGAAUGGAACAGUAGUGUGAAGAAGGUGGAUAAAGAUGGUAGAAUGGAACAGUAGUGUGAAGGUGGAUAAAGAUGGUAGAAUGGAACAGUAGUGUGAAGGUGGAUAAAGAUGGUAGAAUGGAACAGUAGUGUGAAGGUGGAUAAAGAUGGUAGAAUGGAACAGUAGUGUGAAGAAGGUGGAUAAAGAUGGUAGAAUGGAACAGUAGUAUGAAGGUGGAUAAAGAUGGUAGAAUGGAACAGUAGUGUGAAGGUGGAUAAAGAUGGUAGAAUGGAACAGUAGUGUGAAGAAGGCUGGAUAAAGAUGGUAGAAUGGAACACUAGUGUGAAGAAGGUGGAUAAAGAUGGUAGAAUGGAACAGUAGUGUGAAGAAGGUGGAUAAAGAUGGUAGAAUGGAACAGG
Molecule: long non-coding RNA, 785 nt
Organism: Oncorhynchus tshawytscha (Chinook salmon)
Lineage: Eukaryota; Metazoa; Chordata; Actinopteri; Salmoniformes; Salmonidae
Source: Ensembl